GUCGACGUGGAGGAGGCGGGGGAAGAGUUUAGUCCCGGUUGUGUGCAUCCAGCCGGGGGUGAAGCCUUUAUUCAUUCUGGCAUUUAGCCGGAGAUGACCUAAUUGGACGUUGUCCGCGCCGGCCUUUGAGUCGUUUCACCAGUCUCAUUGACGUCCUCACGUUGGCACGAUCCUGACAUGUCACAGAGAAUAAGCCCGGUUCAAGUAGUGUCAGGCCAGUGGGGGACGGUAUCCUGCGAGUCUCGGAGUUUGAAGAGAUUCAUUUCUCUCCUGGAAAUCAGCCCUGUCAAGGCUGGCUUUCAGUGCUCCUCCUGUAAAUUCUCAUAGUACUAUGCACGCCUCAUACACCGCGCUAGGCGCUGAGUGUAAAGCAGAGAACAAAAGAGGUGAAAUACUUGUUCCCAUGAAGCUAAAAUUCUAGUGCCUGACACAGAAACUGAAGGGUUUUUUUCCAACACAAAUUUCAGCCUAAAAGGUCAAGGUCAACCACAUUUUAAGAAAACCCAAUGUGAAAGUCCACACACAGAAACAGAAAACCUUAAUUUGUG
RNAcentral lists this long non-coding RNA (548 nucleotides) under Equus asinus (donkey). Its description in RNAcentral is "lncRNA (ENSEASG00005024607.1)". Lineage: Eukaryota; Metazoa; Chordata; Mammalia; Perissodactyla; Equidae. The record is from RNAcentral.